UGAGGAACAUGACCUUCGGCGGGGGAUAGCCGGCCCAACGGCCGGGUAAUACCGCGUACGACCACAUGGGGACAUCCCUGAGUGGUGAAAGCAGCAAUGCGCCGAUGGAGUGCCUCGCGGCCUAUCAGCUAGUUGGUGAGGUAACGGCUCACCAAGGCGACGACGGGUANCUGGUCUGAGAGGAUGGCCAGCCACAUUGGGACUGAGACACGGCCCAGACUCUACGGGGAG
Molecule: ribosomal RNA, 231 nt
Filed under: uncultured bacterium
Lineage: Bacteria
Description: partial 16S ribosomal RNA
Rfam family: Bacterial small subunit ribosomal RNA
Source: RNAcentral